UUGAUCUAUACAAAUAUAAACUGAUGGACCGAUUUUUAAAGUUGAAAAUAAAAAACGGAUUGUCUCUUUGUUUGUGGGGGUCCUCAUUGAUCUGCAAAAUCUGAUGAGAAAAAAAAAACUGAAUAAGUUUGGUAACACUAAGGUGGGGAUCUUUUCUUCCUUUACCACUCUAAACCUAUCUCUUCUCUCUCCCCUGCCUCACUUCCCUUCUCUCAAAUCAUAUUUCUAAUAUAUCUCCUCCGGGAGAGAUUAUUGAUGAAUCGCAUGCAGUGUCCACUGAGUCAACUUUGAUUAACUGUAAAUUAAAUAAAACAAAAUAGCAAUGUUGAGUAUAUUGGAUAAUUUAGCAAGUCAUGCUAGAUUAAUGGCUCGUUACAACAAAAUCUAUUACUUUAGGUACUAGCCAGUAGUCUAGUAGUACUAGGGGGUGGAGGGGUCUAAUUAAGUAGAUCCACUGACUUUCUUCUUUGAAUGCUAGACAAAACUAAUUCGCUUUUCAACCGAAAAUACAAGUCUGUGAUACAAAAAAAAAAAUCACCAAGCUGAUUAUAUAUCUAACCUUCUUAGAGAUUCU
This 574-nucleotide long non-coding RNA is filed under the name Brassica rapa (field mustard). RNAcentral describes it as "long non-coding RNA (BRAP_LNC000913)". Lineage: Eukaryota; Viridiplantae; Streptophyta; Magnoliopsida; Brassicales; Brassicaceae. The record is from RNAcentral.